Molecule: long non-coding RNA, 2492 nt
Organism: Meriones unguiculatus (Mongolian gerbil)
Lineage: Eukaryota; Metazoa; Chordata; Mammalia; Rodentia; Muridae
Exons: 7
Source: RefSeq, a predicted model, not a curated record
ACACCGUGAGUCAGCUGGUGGCACUGGCCCACUGGGCCUGCUCCGGAUGAACAGUGCUCACCCAAAUAAGCCUGGUCUCAGCUCCCUGUUUCUGUCUUUUGUUGUUGUUGUUGCCCAGCGUGUAUGUAAAUUUGCUGUCUGAGUCUGCUGGACUUCCAUAUCUUGUUCACUGUGUGAUGGUGUUUUGAAAUGGCUGCUCUUACGAGGGGGAGCGAGGACUUGGCGCAGCAGAGCGGAUGCGUCCUCUCUGGACUUUGCUUCCGGAGAUGUUGACUCAGAGCGGCAGGGAUGACGCAGUGCACUGUGGCCGGAGCAGCAGCCAUAGCAGCUGCAUCCGGUUUCCAGUGGAGCGAGAGACAGCUGUUCUGAGGCAGUAUGCAAUGUCCCACAUCUGAGGACUUGGCAGCGUGAGCCUUGGGGCACCGGGGAGAUGGGGAGAGGCCCCUGGAGCGUGCUGGCCUGCCUGUUCAGCCUAGCUGGCAAGUCCCAGGACUCACCGACAGACUCUGCUCCAAGACAGUGAGUGACUGCUGAAGAAUGACGCCUGAGCUGACUCCUGGCUUCCACAGAGAGGCACAUCUGUAACAUGUGUAAGCAUGCUCACUUGAACAUACAAGUGCGUUCUCUGUCAUGGACACACGCACAUGUGUUGGCCAUUUGUUCAGUCCUUCUGUAAAUUGUUUUCUUUAUCAUCUAUACGAUAAAGUUGAGACUACUUCAAGGCUUUUUUUUUUUUUUUCAGUUUUUCUGAGACAGGGUUUCUCUGUGUAGCCCUGGCUGUCCUGGAACUCACUCUAUAGACCAGGCUGGCAUUGAACUCACAGAUAUCUGCCUGCCUCUGCCUCCUGAGUGCUGGGAUUAAAGGAACGCGCCACCACCUCCCUUAAAUCUAAUGACUCUUAAUGGUGAAGCUGCCAUCUAGCCAAAGCCCUUUGUGGGUUGCUGACAGUAAAUGUGAAAAAAAAAAAAAAAUAUAUAUAUAUAUAUAUAUACAGGGAAAGUAGGUUACUUCUGCCUCAUUCCAUUUAUACUGGUUGGAUACAGGCAAGACUUUCUGGGCCAACACUCAAUGGCUCAACAAGCAAAAGCUCCAGCUCUGUAGACUGACAAAAUCUGUAACGAAGGUACUCACUAGCUAGUGAUUUCUACCAUUCUCAAAGUGUUGGCUUCAUCACCACAACCUAAAGACAAAAUCUCCACCACAUCACAUACCAGUCUGGGAGGACGGGGGUGGGGGGGAGAGCAGAGGCUGUGGGAAGGCCAGCGUGGUUAUUUAAAAGAGGAGUAAGAAGCCUAACCAGGUCUGGUGUCCAAUCUGGUUGAGAAUCAUUAGAUUUCAGCAAUCUAUGGGCAAUGCGAGAUCGUUCUAGGAAAAAAAAACAUGAUCAGUGUCUGAGACAGCCCCAGACACUUGCUUCUUUCUUUAAGGACUGGGAGGAAGAUAUGGUCUUGUCCCCACUGAUGUGGUGUGAGCUGGAGAAAUUUGGCUGCUCACCAGAAUGGGACAAGCAAUCCUUACUUGUCCUCGGGUAACACCCUACUUCCAUAAACCGCAAACGCUUAUAUCAACACUACAUGAACUAUGCAAGCAGAUGCCAUCGAGCCCCGUGGAUUCAACUGCUGAAGAGAAAAAAUAAAGCAUUUGAAAAAUAAUCUCAUUUCCUGCACCAUUCUAUUUUGAAUGCCAGAGAUGGGGUGUUCUGAAAGAAAGCUUCUUAGCACUUGGACGCCACUGAAGAGCUAGCCAGCUUUGAUUGACGGCUGGCAGCCAUUGCUAGGUGAACCUAACCUUAAAAAUCACAGCCAACAUUUUGUGGAAAGUUGCUACGUAAAAUUGAAGUUUGAUCACACUGUAUCUUUGGAGCUGGUUCAUGAAGCCAGGAGCUCCCUGAUUCGGGAUGGCACCACCCACAGUGGGCUGAGCCCUUGGACAUCACUUAGUAAUCAAGACAAUCCCCUGAAGACAUGCCUUCAGGCCAAUCUGAUCCAUUGAGGCCUUCCUGUCACAUGGCUACCGGCUGUGUCAACUUGUUAAAGCAAAACAGGGUAGGAACCCUGAUGAGGAUCCCUAAAAGUAGAAGAAGGCAGAAGGACAGAAACGUCCGUUUCCUGAAAAUUGCUAAAAUAGCAUCAGCAGCGUGGAACAGCAAGGGAAAGCACAGUGACCAUGUGCAAACCGGAAGUGCGUCGUGGGGUGGUUUCUGCUUCCUGUAGCACUCCAGAACCACAGGUGUCUGUGCGCUGUCUUCCCCAGACCAGCCUUCACCCACCUGGGAACCUAGUAGAAAUGCAAAGCAGAAACGAAUGCAUGCAAUGAUGGCUGGAUUGCCACAAUCACCUUGGACCAUGACAACAAGUGAUUUAGUUCAGAUCUGAUGGAACAAAAAGCUACAAUGAGCUUAGGUCCCUGGUGACUGCAGGAACCUGCACUCUGAGCUUUGGACUACCCACCCCCCAAUGGGUGACAGAAUAAAACCCGGGUGUUUAAUUUA